UCUGCUUUACAGAUUCAAAAACUCUGAUUGAUAUUCUUACAUGAAACAAGUCUGUGUUUUCUCUACAAAGGAUCCUCAAUGACAUCAGUGUGUUGAGUAGAUCCCAGAACUCUUAUCUCCUUUAGGUUUAUUUCUCGAAUUUGUAAUGAGACUGCUGAUAACCUUGCGGAAAACGCUAUGUUUGUAAUGUCUAACAAUUCCUCUGGAAUUGGAAACUCUGUAACCGACUGAUUAGAGAAGUAAAAAAAAAAAUUGACCAAAAAAAAAGAAGGAGAUGUCCAUAUUAGGAGAAUGAUAUGUAUUAUUGAUACGAUGGUACACAGUAUAUACACGUAAGGUUUUGACAAGAGAUAUUUAUACAAUACUCUUUUUAUAUAUAUACUCUCUAAGCCUCCUCA
Molecule: long non-coding RNA, 398 nt
Filed under: Brassica rapa (field mustard)
Lineage: Eukaryota; Viridiplantae; Streptophyta; Magnoliopsida; Brassicales; Brassicaceae
Description: long non-coding RNA (BRAP_LNC006934)
Source: RNAcentral